AUGGUGGCGGCGGCGGCGAUCCUGCCGGAGCUGGCCACGCAGCUGGUGGUGCCGGUGGCGGCGGCGGUCGGCAUCGCGUUCGCGGUGCUGCAGUGGGUGCUGGUCUCCAAGGUGAAGGUCGCCCCCGAGCCGCGCGGCGAGGGCGGGUCGGCGGCCGGAGGAGGCGCCGGCGCGGGCGGCAAGGACGGCGCCAGCGAGUACCUCAUCGAGGAGGAGGAGGGCCUCAACGACCACAACGUCGUCCUCAAGUGCGCCGAGAUCCAGACCGCCAUCUCCGAAGGGGCAACCUCCUUCCUUUUCACCGAGUACAAGUAUGCCGGAGGGUUCAUGACCGUUUUCGCGGUCCUCAUCUUCGUCUUCCUUGGCUCCAUCGAGGGGUUCAGCACAAAGAGCCAGCCUUGCCAUUACAGCGUGGGCAAGACAUGCAAGCCUGCUCUUGCCAACGCCGCCUUCAGCACAAUUGCCUUUGUGCUGGGUGCGGUCACCUCGCUUGUGUCUGGUUUCCUCGGAAUGAAGAUCGCGACCUACGCGAAUGCCAGGACCACUCUCGAGGCAAGGAAGGGUGUCGGGAAGGCGUUCAUCACCGCUUUCCGCUCUGGUGCUGUGAUGGGCUUCCUUCUUGCUGCGAGUGGCCUUUUUGUUCUCUACGUCGCAAUCAACCUGUUUGGGCUUUAUUAUGGUGAUGACUGGGAGGGCCUUUUCGAGGCUAUCACCGGGUAUGGUCUCGGCGGUUCUUCCAUGGCUCUUUUCGGCCGUGUAGGCGGCGGGAUUUACACCAAAGCUGCUGAUGUUGGCGCUGAUCUUGUUGGGAAAGUAGAAAGGAACAUCCCUGAAGAUGACCCGAGGAACCCAGCUGUCAUUGCAGACAAUGUUGGUGACAAUGUUGGAGAUAUUGCUGGAAUGGGUUCAGAUCUCUUUGGUUCCUACGCCGAGUCGUCUUGUGCUGCUCUUGUUGUUGCCUCGAUCUCUUCCUUCGGAAUUAACCAUCAAUUCACCCCCAUGAUGUACCCACUCCUAAUUAGCUCAGUGGGUAUAAUAGCUUGUUUGAUAACGACUCUUUUUGCAACCGAUUUCUUUGAGGUGAAGGAGGUAGAUCAAAUAGAGCCUGCCCUUAAAAAACAGCUUAUUAUCUCCACUGCCGUGAUGACCGCUGGCAUUGCACUUGUCAGUUGGUUAGGCCUCCCGUAUACCUUCACAAUAUUCAACUUUGGUGCCCAGAAGACUGUGCAUAGCUGGCAACUAUUUUUGUGUGUGGCGGUUGGUCUCUGGGCUGGCCUAGUCAUUGGAUUCAUUACAGAGUACUACACAAGCAAUGCAUACAGUCCUGUGCAGGAUGUUGCUGAUUCCUGCAGAACUGGAGCUGCUACCAAUGUCAUCUUUGGUCUUGCUCUGGGAUACAAAUCAGUUAUUAUCCCUAUCUUCGCCAUUGCCUUCAGUAUUUUCCUCAGCUUCAGCCUUGCCGCGAUGUAUGGUGUGGCUGUGGCUGCUCUUGGAAUGCUCAGCACAAUUGCGACCGGUCUUGCCAUUGAUGCCUAUGGCCCUAUCAGUGACAACGCUGGAGGCAUCGCUGAAAUGGCUGGCAUGAGCCACAGAAUCCGUGAGAGAACUGAUGCUCUGGAUGCUGCAGGAAACACAACUGCUGCCAUUGGAAAGGGUUUUGCAAUUGGCUCGGCUGCCCUGGUGUCCCUUGCUCUCUUCGGUGCCUUUGUGAGCCGUGCCGGGAUCACAACUGUUGAUGUUCUGACACCAAACGUUUUCAUUGGCCUCCUUGUUGGUGCCAUGCUCCCGUACUGGUUCUCUGCAAUGACCAUGAAGAGUGUUGGAAGCGCGGCUCUCAAGAUGGUGGAGGAAGUGCGGAGGCAGUUCAACACCAUCCCUGGGCUCAUGGAGGGCACCGCCAAGCCUGACUAUGCGACAUGUGUGAAGAUCUCCACCGAUGCGUCCAUCAAGGAGAUGAUCCCCCCGGGUGCUCUGGUCAUGCUGACACCUCUUAUUGUCGGGACCUUCUUUGGCGUUGAGACCCUCUCUGGUGUCCUUGCCGGUGCUCUGGUUUCUGGUGUUCAGAUUGCCAUUUCAGCAUCGAACACCGGUGGUGCCUGGGACAACGCGAAGAAGUACAUUGAGGCUGGCGCAUCUGAGCACGCAAAGAGCCUGGGCCCGAAAGGCUCGGACUGCCACAAGGCUGCUGUGAUCGGCGACACCAUCGGGGACCCUCUCAAGGACACCUCGGGCCCCUCACUCAACAUCCUCAUCAAGCUCAUGGCGGUCGAGUCCCUCGUGUUCGCCCCCUUCUUCGCCACCUAUGGAGGCAUCCUCUUCAAAUAUCUUUAG
RNAcentral lists this ribosomal RNA (2331 nucleotides) under Triticum aestivum (bread wheat). RNAcentral describes it as "partial small subunit ribosomal RNA". The record is from RNAcentral. Lineage: Eukaryota; Viridiplantae; Streptophyta; Magnoliopsida; Poales; Poaceae.